Molecule: long non-coding RNA, 1038 nt
Filed under: Papio anubis (olive baboon)
Lineage: Eukaryota; Metazoa; Chordata; Mammalia; Primates; Cercopithecidae
Description: lncRNA (ENSPANG00000037509.1)
Source: RNAcentral
CUAGUUUACAGAGAGUUUUUUAGCAUGAAGCAUUGUUGAAUUUUGUCAAAGGUCCUUUCUGCAUCUAUUGAAAUAAUCAUGUGGUUUUUGUCUUUGUUUCUGUUUAUGUGAUGGAUUAUAUUUAUUGAUUUGCGUAUGUUGAACCAGCCUUGCAUCCCAAGGAUGAAGCCAACUUGAUCUUGCUGGAUCCUUUAAAUUUUGAAGAGCUUCUGGCUCAUUCUCUAUGAUGUAUUUUGGAUAUUUGUCCCCUCCAAAUGUCAUAUUGAAAUGUGUCCUCCAAUUUUGGAGGUGGAUCUAGUGGGAGGUAUUUGUUUCAUGCGUUGGAUCCUUCAUGAAUGGCUUGGUGUACUCCUCAUUGUAAAGAGUGAGUUCUUGCUCUGUUAAGUUCACAUGGGAGCUGGCUGUUUAAAAUUUAAAAAUUAAUUAAAUUUAAAUUAUCUUGUUCUCUCUCCCUUCAUGUGACAUGCCAGCUCCCUCUCUGCCUUCUUCGAUAAGUAAAAGCUUUUUGAAGUCUCACCAGAGGCCAAGCAGAUGAUGGUGCCAGGCUUGUACAACCUGCAGAACCAUGAACUCAAUUUUCUUCAUAAGUUAUUCAGCCUCAGGGCUUUUCAUGCUAUCUCACUGAAGCAUCUUGAAUAUAAGACGUAUGAAAGACAUAAUAAGAAGAGAUAAGUAAGAAUUAACUGUUAAUAGUCUUUUCAAGAAUUAAUGGUGCAAGACAGUGAAUAAAUCUGUUCAUAUUAAUUAAAAAAUGCUACCAUUAUGGCAAACAUUUUCAUUAUUUUUAAUGUAAAGAGAGAAUUACUCUAGUAAAUUCUUUAAAUUUAAUUCCAAUUUUAGAUAUAUAAAGAAUGUUAUUUGCAUGGCAUACAACAAGAUAGAAACAUCUGGUGUUUAUGCAUUUUCUGCUGAAUCACAGAUGACUAAUUAUUUUCCAUGUGUCAGGAAAAAAAAUUGAUUAAUCACCCAUUCUUGUUAGCCUAAUGUUCUGCAACUUAGAUCUAUUCUGUUAAGUCAUUAGCCUUCUCUGUACAAUCU